RNAcentral lists this ribosomal RNA (483 nucleotides) under uncultured bacterium. Its description in RNAcentral is "partial 16S ribosomal RNA". It matches the Rfam family "Bacterial small subunit ribosomal RNA", at positions 28 to 523 of the family's 1533-position model. The record is from RNAcentral.
GAUGAACGCUAACGGCAGGCUUAAUACAUGCGAGUCGAGGGGGCAGCAAUGUCACCGGCGAACGGGUGCGUAACGCGUAUGCAACAUACCUACAUCAGGGGGAUAGCCCUAGGAAACUUGGAUUAACACCGCAUAAUAUAAGCUACGGCAUCGUAACUUAUUGAAAUAUUUAGAGGAUGUAGAUGGGCAUGCGUAGGAUGAGCUAGUUGGUAAGGUAACGGCUUACCAAGGCUACGAUCCCUAGGGGAUCUGAGAGGAGUAUCCCCCACACGGGCACUGAGAUACGGGCCAGACUCCUACGGGAGGCAGCAGUAGGGAAUAUUGGGCAAUGGAGGCAACUCUGACCCAGCCAUGCCGCGUGCAGGAAGACGGUCCUCUGGAUUGUAAACUGCUUUUGAAUGGGAAGAAUGUGCUUCUUGCGAGGAGUAAUGACGGUACCAUUAGAAUAAGCCACGGCUAACUACGUGCCAGCAGCCGCCGUAA